GUGCACAUUUCAUUGACCUGCUUUCUUCUGUAUGCGUGAGCAGCAUUAUUUCAUAUGUGCUAUAAAAUAAAUGAAGGUUAAUUAGCAGUAUAGCAAAACAGUCAUGCUGACAGUCUCCUUCAGAAAAGA
Erinaceus europaeus (western European hedgehog) is the source of this 129-nucleotide non-coding RNA. The record is from Rfam. NCBI's taxonomy places the organism in Eukaryota, Metazoa, Chordata, Mammalia, Eulipotyphla, Erinaceidae.